AUUGAACGCUGGCGGCAGGCUUAACACAUGCAAGUCGAACGAGUGGCGGACGGGUGAGUAAUGUCUGGGAAUCUCCCUUAUGGAGGGGGAUAACUACUGGAAACGGUAGCUAAUACCGCGUACCAUAGGAUGAGCCCAAGUGGGAUUAGGUAGUUGGUGGGGUAAAGGCUAACCAAGCCGACGAUCUCUAGCUGGUCUGAGAGGAUGACCAGCCACACUGGAACUGAGACACGGGCCAGACUCCUACGGGAGGCAGCAGUGGGGAAGAUGGCGCAAUGGGGGCAAGCCUGACGCAGCCAUGCCGCGUGGAUGAAGAAGGCCUUCGGGUUGUAAAGUACUUUCAGUGGGGAGGCGUUACCUGCAGAAGAAGCACCGGCUAACUCCGUGCCAGCAGCCGCGGUAAUAC
This 406-nucleotide ribosomal RNA is filed under the name uncultured bacterium. Its description in RNAcentral is "partial 16S ribosomal RNA". It matches the Rfam family "Bacterial small subunit ribosomal RNA", at positions 30 to 526 of the family's 1533-position model. The record is from RNAcentral.